AACGAACGCUGGCGGCAUGCCUAACACAUGCAAGUCGAACGAAGGCUUCGGCCUUAGUGGCGCACGGGUGCGUAACGCGUGGGAAUCUGCCCUUGGGUUCGGAAUAACGUCGGGAAACUGACGCUAAUACCGGAUGAUGACGUAAGUCCAAAGAUUUAUCGCCCAAGGAUGAGCCCGCGUCGGAUUAGCUAGUUGGUGAGGUAAAAGCUCACCAAGGCGACGAUCCGUAGCUGGUCUGAGAGGAUGAUCAGCCACACUGGGACUGAGACACGGCCCAGACUCCUACGGGAAGCAGCAGUGGGGAAUAUUGGACAAUGGGCGAAAGCCUGAUCCAGCAAUGCCGCGUGAGUGAUGAAGGCCUUAGGGUUGUAAAGCUCUUUUACCCGGGAUGAUAAUGACCGUACCGGGAGAAUAAGCUCCGGCUAACUCCGUG
RNAcentral lists this ribosomal RNA (433 nucleotides) under uncultured bacterium. RNAcentral describes it as "partial 16S ribosomal RNA". It matches the Rfam family "Bacterial small subunit ribosomal RNA", at positions 29 to 507 of the family's 1533-position model. The record is from RNAcentral.